Molecule: ribosomal RNA, 482 nt
Filed under: uncultured bacterium
Lineage: Bacteria
Description: partial 16S ribosomal RNA
Rfam family: Bacterial small subunit ribosomal RNA
Source: RNAcentral
AUUGAACGCUGGCGGCAUGAUUUACACAUGCAAGUCGAACGGUAACAGGCCGCAAGGUGCUGACGAGUGGCGAACGGGUGAGUAACGCAUCGGAACGUGCCCAGUCGUGGGGGAUAACUACUCGAAAGAGUAGCUAAUACCGCAUACGAUCUAUGGAUGAAAGCGGGGGACCGUAAGGCCUCGCGCGAUUGGAGCGGCCGAUGUCAGAUUAGGUAGUUGGUGGGGUAAAGGCUCACCAAGCCAACGAUCUGUAGCUGGUCUGAGAGGACGACCAGCCACACUGGGACUGAGACACGGCCCAGACUCCUACGGGAGGCAGCAGUGGGGAAUUUUGGACAAUGGGCGCAAGCCUGAUCCAGCAAUGCCGCGUGCAGGAAGAAGGCCUUCGGGUUGUAAACUGCUUUUGUACGGAACGAAACGGCUCUGGUUAAUACCCGGGGCUAAUGACGGUACCGUAAGAAUAAGCACCGGCUAACUACGUG